UUUAUCUCUAUUUUAUUUUGGACUAAAUUAUUUUGCUGUUCAUUUAGUAGUUAUAUUCAUUUAUUUAUUUACAGAGCGUUCCUCCUUUCUCAUCACGAAAAAUACGUUCAAAAAUUCGUUUGUUAUAUACGACACGAACGCUGACUUGGAUAUUUAUUCCAAAAGAGCUGCUCUGAGAUCAUCUGAAACGGUGGUUAGUCUUGUAUCAUCCAUCGGUAAAUUUUUAUACUAUUUAUUAUUUAUUUAUUUUUAGUAUAUUUUUUUUAUUUUUUUAUUUUUGUAUUAGUUAUAUUUUGCAUCUAUUUUGUGUUGUUUUGCCUCCUAGCUAACGCUAUUUUCUACUUGACUAAUAAAUUUUUAAAAAUUUUUUUAGAUGAAGAAAUAAUUUUCUGUGCUUCCGGGACAAUCAUAGAAUGCAACAGCGGCAGUAAUGGCCUCUUUGAUGUGACCAUAUUGACGACAGCUAGUUUACUGAGAUCCGAUGUUGAGGAUAAGAUAGUAGAAAAUAUGCAGGUGGAUAAUAUGAAAUUUUAGUGUUAUUUGUAAUUUUUAAUUUUUUCUUCAUUACUUACAUAUGCAUGUGUUGUUUCAAAUAUAUCUGUGUAGAUGCUUAUUUAUCCUUAAAUCUUUUUUUUUUAAGGUAAUUGUAUACUUGUGGGAUGGGAAAUCGUACAAAG
This 677-nucleotide long non-coding RNA is filed under the name Ananas comosus (pineapple). Its description in RNAcentral is "long non-coding RNA (ACOM_LNC027147)". The record is from RNAcentral. Lineage: Eukaryota; Viridiplantae; Streptophyta; Magnoliopsida; Poales; Bromeliaceae.